CCCUUAGAUGUUCUGGGCUGCACGCGCGCUACAAUGGCGUUUUCAAAAAGAUUGCUAAUCCGAAAGGACCAGCGGAUCUUCGAAGUGGCGUCGUGAUCGGGACAGUUGAUUGCAAUUAUUCGACUCGAACGAGGAAUUCCUUGUAAUCGUGCGUCAUCAGCGCACGCUGAAUACGUCCCUGUUCUUUGUACACACCGCCCGUCGCACCUACCGAUUGGAUGGUCCGGUGAAGCCUCGGGAUUGUGGUUCUUGCCGCUUUAUUGUGGCGUGACCGCGAGAACUUGUCUAAACCUUAUCAUCUAGAGGAAGGUGAAGUCGUAACA
Molecule: ribosomal RNA, 323 nt
Filed under: uncultured eukaryote
Lineage: Eukaryota
Description: partial 18S ribosomal RNA
Rfam family: Eukaryotic small subunit ribosomal RNA
Source: RNAcentral